UAAGGCACUGGUCUAAUCUUGUUGCGCGCAACAUUGUUGCUGGCAAAAUCGAAAUGUUGCCAGCAACAUUCAUAGACCACCUCAGCGAUAUGUUGCCGAGCAACAAUGUUGCGCGCAACAAGAUUAGACCGCUGCCUAAG
This is a long non-coding RNA of Anopheles gambiae (African malaria mosquito), 140 nucleotides long. RefSeq lists it as uncharacterized. The transcript has 2 exons. The record is from RefSeq and is a predicted model, not a curated record. Lineage: Eukaryota; Metazoa; Arthropoda; Insecta; Diptera; Culicidae.